GAUGAACGCUGGCGGCGUGCUUAACACAUGCCAGUCGAACGAUGAAGCCCAGCUUGCUGGGGGGUUUAGUGGCGAACGGGUGAGUAACACGUGAGUAACCUGCCCUUAACUCUGGGAUAAGCCUGGAAAACGGGGCCUAAUACCGGAUAGGAGCGUCCACCGCAGGGUGGGUGUUGGAGAGAUUUAUCGGUUUUGGAUGGACUCGCGGCCUAUCAGCUUGUUGGUGAGGUAAUGGCUCACCAAGGCGGAGACGGGUAGCCGGCCUGAGAGGGUGACCGGGCACACUGGGACUGAGACACGGACCAGACUCCUACGGGAGGCAGCAGUGGGGAAUAUUGCACAAUGGGCGCAAGCCUGAUGCAGCGACGCCGCGUGAGGGAUGACGGCCUUCGGGUUGUAAACCUCUUUCAGUAGGGAAGAAGCGAAAGUGACGGUACCUGCAGAAGAAGCACCGGCUAACUACGUG
This 466-nucleotide ribosomal RNA is filed under the name uncultured bacterium. RNAcentral describes it as "partial 16S ribosomal RNA". It matches the Rfam family "Bacterial small subunit ribosomal RNA", at positions 28 to 507 of the family's 1533-position model. The record is from RNAcentral.